CAUAAACCAUAAGGAGGUGAGUUUCGAUAAAACUUUAUUUACAGAAAGAGGUGACAAGUUGAAUUUGGCCCACAGGUCAGUUUGUCAACCCCUUGCGUAUAAGAUCCUUUUUAAACCUGCUCCAAACUCCAAUUCCAAUUGUUCCUCUUCAUUUACUCAUAAUUUCUACUUCCAUGCCAAAUUUAUUUUUGUGAAAAUGCAGGAUAUAUAUUUAUAGUAACACCAUAUGUAAUACCCUAAGCCUGAUCCCUGAACAAGGUGAAUUAAUUAUUUACAUCUUUAUGAUAUCUAUAUACAGGGUAGUACUUGUAGGUAUCCACUCCCACUUGAAAUCCUACAAUCUAUAAUGAAGCAAAGCCCAAGUGUCCAUCACUAAUGGAAACCACUGCCCCUCCUGGUCAUUUACUAUUAGAGGAAAAUUCCACUUUUUCCAACGGAAGGCCUAGGUAAGAGUUUUCUUCAUUACGGUGCAAGAAGAAAAAAGGAGACCAUUCCUUCAAUCUUCCCUUAACUGUUUAAGCCAUCCAGAGAUUAGACACUCAGUCAACCCUAGGAGAUGAGGACGGAAAAGUGAUGUUUCUUGCAUCCAGUAUCAUGAAACAAAUUCAUAUUGGUUGUAGAAGUCACUAGCUCAGAAGAGAGAAGCAAUGGUGGAUGCACACUCCAGAGUGUUGUGGCAUGAGGCAUAGGAAAGGCAUGGCAGGUUAUACAGUUAAGCUAGACUUUCAUUAAACGUGGCUGCGCUACCUUGAAAAUGAAUAGCUUCAGUGGGACAUGGGUCAAGUGGAUACUUUUACAUAUGGGAGAGAUUUUCGUAUGUUUAUGUUCUUGUUAUAAAUAAGUAAUAUAAGUAUAGUAUAAAUAAGUAAUAUAAUUAUAAUAUAAAUAAGUAAUAUAAGAGAUUAAUGACAAAACAGAUAAUAAGCAUGAUUGAAAAAGAAGGGCCCAGAGAUUCAGGAUAAAAUGGGAGUUGGAGUUCAAGUAGAGGCUUAGUCUUAGGUUAAGGAAUGUCAUGGAUUGAAUUAUGUCCCCUCUCCUCCCCCCAGUGCAUCAACUUGGUUAGGCUGUGAUUCCCAGUACUGUGUGGUAGUCCUCCAUUUUGUGAUUGUAAUGUUAUGUCAAGAGGAUUAGUGUGACCUCACUCAGGUCACCUCCCUGAUCAUGGUAAAGGGAGUUUCCUUGGGGUGUGGCCUGCACCACCUUUUAUCUUUCAAGAGAUAAAAGGAAAGGGAAGCAAGCAGAGAGUUGGGGACCUCACAUUACCAAGAAAACAGCACUGGGAGCAGAGCGCUUCCUUUGGCCCUGGGGUCCCUGUGCCUGAGAAGCUCCUUGACCAGGGGAAGAUUGAUGUCAAGGAGCCAACAGAAAGAGAAAGCCUUCCCUUGGAACCGAUGCCCUGAAUUUGGACUUUUAACCUACUAGACUGUGAGAGAAUAAAUUUCUUUUUGUUAAAGCCAUCCACUUGUGGUAUUUCUGUUUUAGCAGCACCGGGUAACUAAGACACCUCUACUACUAAAACUAAGGAAAAAACAGGAGGAAUAGAUAUGCUUAUUGAUGGGAGAUGAAAGAGUUCCUGCCUCAUAACUCUAUUUUCUCUUACAUGGCCAUGUGAUGAGAAUAUAAGGGCAAAAUACUGCACACCUAAAGAUAAUAAAAUUUGAAGUAAAUCCAGAAGAAGAAAAGAAAAUGUUCUGCAUCCCACCCUACCCCCUUUCCUGAAGAUCACAGCCAGCCCUUCAAAAGUCAGCACCAGAUCCCAAGCUACCUUGGCAAAGAGAUGGCCGAAAAGAAUAUGACUAGAGAAAUAGAAGACUCUUACAAACUGGUCAGGAGCUCUUCUCAGGACUGAGGUAAGUCACCACAGGAAGAAAUGACAAGGGCUAAUACUUGCUAGCAAGGCCAGGAGAGGCCCAAUGCAAAGAA
This is a long non-coding RNA of Loxodonta africana (African savanna elephant), 1923 nucleotides long. RefSeq lists it as uncharacterized. Lineage: Eukaryota; Metazoa; Chordata; Mammalia; Proboscidea; Elephantidae. The transcript is spliced from 3 exons. The record is from RefSeq and is a predicted model, not a curated record.